RNAcentral lists this ribosomal RNA (247 nucleotides) under uncultured bacterium. RNAcentral describes it as "partial 16S ribosomal RNA". It matches the Rfam family "Bacterial small subunit ribosomal RNA", at positions 96 to 334 of the family's 1533-position model. The record is from RNAcentral.
CGGCGCACGGGUGAGUAACACGUGGAUAAUCUACCCUUUAGAUUGGAAUAACCUGUCGAAAGACGGGCUAAUGCCAAGUAAGCUUACGAGUUCGUGAAGUUCUUGUAAGGAAAGAUGGUGCAAGCUAUCGCUGAAGGAUGAGUCUGCGUCCCAUUAGUUAGUUGGUGGGGUAAUGGCUUACCAAGACGAUGAUGGGUACCUGGUCUGAGAGGAUGACCAGGCACACUGGAACUGAAACACGGUCCAG